RNAcentral lists this ribosomal RNA (516 nucleotides) under Prevotella sp. 2-5. Its description in RNAcentral is "bacterial SSU rRNA". It matches the Rfam family "Bacterial small subunit ribosomal RNA", at positions 35 to 528 of the family's 1533-position model. The record is from RNAcentral. Lineage: Bacteria; Pseudomonadati; Bacteroidota; Bacteroidia; Bacteroidales; Prevotellaceae.
UUUUCUUCUUACUACGGGUGAGCUGGCUACCAUGCAGUCGAGGGGAACGGCAGAGAGUGCUUGCACACUUUGGACGUCGACCGGCGCACGGGUGAGUAACGCGUAUCCAACCUGCCCUUUACUUGGGGAUAACCCGUUGAAAGACGGACUAAUACCCAAUGAUAUUCAUUGAUGACAUCUGAUUUGAAUUAAAGAUUUAUCGGUAUAGGAUGGGGAUGCGUCUGAUUAGCUUGUUGGUGAGGUAACGGCUCACCAAGGCCACGAUCAGUAGGGGUUCUGAGAGGAAGGUCCCCCACAUUGGAACUGAGACACGGUCCAAACUCCUACGGGAGGCAGCAGUGAGGAAUAUUGGUCAAUGGACGAGAGUCUGAACCAGCCAAGUAGCGUGCAGGAUGACGGCCCUAUGGGUUGUAAACUGCUUUUGUUUGGGAAUAAUCGACAUUACGUGUAAUGUUUUGCAUGUACCAUUCGAAUAAGGACCGGCUAAUUCCGUGCCAGCAGCCGGCGGUAAUAUUU